GACGAACGCUGGCGGCGUGCUUAACACAUGCAAGUCGAACGGAAAGGCCCUGCUUUUGUGGGGUGCUCGAGUGGCGAACGGGUGAGUAACACGUGAGUAACCUGCCCUUGACUUUGGGAUAACUUCAGGAAACUGGGGCUAAUACCGGAUAGGAGCUCCUGCUGCAUGGUGAGGGUUGGAAAGUUUCGGCGGUUGGGGAUGGACUCGCGGCUUAUCAGCUUGUUGGUGGGGUAGUGGCUUACCAAGGCUUUGACGGGUAGCCGGCCUGAGAGGGUGACCGGCCACAUUGGGACUGAGAUACGGCCCAGACUCCUACGGGAGGCAGCAGUGGGGAAUAUUGCACAAUGGGCGGAAGCCUGAUGCAGCAACGCCGCGUGCGGGAUGACGGCCUUCGGGUUGUAAACCGCUUUCGCCUGUGACGAAGCGUGAGUGACGGUAAUGGGUAAAGAAGCACCGGCUAACUACGUGCCAGCAGCCGCGGUGAUACGUAGGGUGCGAGCGUUGUCCGGAUUUAUUGGGCGUAAAGGGCUCGUAGGUGGUUGAUCGCGUCGGAAGUGUAAUCUUGGGGCUUAACCCUGAGCGUGCUUUCGAUACGGGUUGACUUGAGGAAGGUAGGGGAGAAUGGAAUUCCUGGUGGAGCGGUGGAAUGCGCAGAUAUCAGGAGGAACACCAGUGGCGAAGGCGGUUCUCUGGGCCUUUCCUGACGCUGAGGAGCGAAAGCGUGGGGAGCGAACAGGCUUAGAUACCCUGGUAGUCCACGCUGUAAACGGUGGGUACUAGGUGUGGGGUCCAUUCCACGGGUUCCGUGCCGUAGCUAACGCUUUAAGUACCCCGCCUGGGGAGUACGGCCGCAAGGCUAAAACUCAAAGGAAUUGACGGGGCCCCGCACAAGCGGCGGAGCAUGCGGAUUAAUUCGAUGCAACGCGUAGAACCUUACCUGGGUUUGACAUGGAUCGGGAGUGCUCAGAGAUGGGUGUGCCUCUUUUGGGGUCGGUUCACAGGUGGUGCAUGGCUGUCGUCAGCUCGUGUCGUGAGAUGUUGGGUUAAGUCCCGCAACGAGCGCAACCCUUGUUCACUGUUGCCAGCACGUUAUGGUGGGGACUCAGUGGAGACCGCCGGGGUCAACUCGGAGGAAGGUGGGGAUGACGUCAAGUCAUCAUGCCCCUUAUGUCCAGGGCUUCACGCAUGCUACAAUGGCUGGUACAGAGAGUGGCGAGCCUGUGAGGGUGAGCGAAUCUCGGAAAGCCGGUCUCAGUUCGGAUUGGGGUCUGCAACUCGACCUCAUGAAGUCGGAGUCGCUAGUAAUCGCAGAUCAGCAGCGCUGCGGUGAAUACGUUCCCGGG
This 1343-nucleotide ribosomal RNA is filed under the name uncultured bacterium. RNAcentral describes it as "16S ribosomal RNA". It matches the Rfam family "Bacterial small subunit ribosomal RNA", at positions 28 to 1378 of the family's 1533-position model. The record is from RNAcentral.